AUCUACGACCAUAGAACGCGGAAAACAGGGUAUCCCGUCCGCUCUGCCUUACUCAAGCCUCGUAUCGAUCAAGUAGUAGUAUCGUGGGUGACCAGAUGCGAAUUCUGAUUGUUGUAGUUC
Molecule: ribosomal RNA, 120 nt
Organism: Dactylellina haptotyla CBS 200.50
Lineage: Eukaryota; Fungi; Ascomycota; Orbiliomycetes; Orbiliales; Orbiliaceae
Source: Rfam